Long non-coding RNA from Lynx canadensis (Canada lynx), 2316 nucleotides. RefSeq lists it as uncharacterized. The transcript is spliced from 3 exons. The record is from RefSeq and is a predicted model, not a curated record. Lineage: Eukaryota; Metazoa; Chordata; Mammalia; Carnivora; Felidae.
CCACCGGCCCGUGGAAAGGGCACAACCCCCACGCCGCGCUUAGGGGCUCCCUCCCGCGAAAGGUCCCAGAGGACAGGACUGCUUGUUCCCCUGGUGGGCUGUGCAGAGCGCGGCGUGAGUCGCUCGUCGGGCCGACCCGGCCGGGCCUUCCCGCGCUUCCCACGCCCCGCCCACCUCCCCUCUCCUUGCCCUGGAUAAGAAUUCCCUGCAGGGAACCGGCCCCGCGUAGUGUGGCCCCCGGGAGCACGGCUAAUCCCUCGUCUUCGUCCGCUUUUCAGGGACAAGGAACGCGGAAGUUCUUUCGGUUUAGCAUGUAAGGCAAGAGCGCAGAAUCAACCUCGGGUCCCUCAGUUGACAAUCUGGCAUCUGGCAACUCCCUGUCCCGAACCGCCCUUGCUCCUCGCUUGACCUCACUCUGGUGUCCCCUCCCUCUCACGCCAUUUCCUCUCCCUCCAUUAACUGCUCUACAUUGCAAAGGGAGAGCAAAGGGGCUCUUUGAUUUGACCUUGAACUUACCUUGCCAGGAUCCUUUUGAGUCCCGCGCGUUUCAGGAGCUUUUCAAACUUUGAAUGAAGACCCACCGUGAGAAAUAGUUUACGACUCCAGGUUUUAGGAAUAGAGGAUGAUCUGCACAUGAGUUCCCAGAGACGGUUAUGCGACUUUUGAGUUGUGCCCGCAAAUAAACGAAUUUUGGAAUCUCCAAAGAUCCCCGAGUGGCCACGGUAAUGACAAGUCACAGUGAUCCCACAAGACAGAAACUUACAAAAAAUGGACCUAUAACAGACACCCAGCUGGGGUUCCAGUCAGGGGCUGCUCUCCAGCAGCAAUUUUCCAAACCAGAGGCCCCGCUGAGUAUGCACCGGACAGACGAGAGUAACUCCGUAGUUCAGACAGACAGACAGACAGACAAAAGCCCACAUAGGAAAGACAGACACCCAAAACCUGGGCCUAGGCGUCAACUGAAAAGAGGGAGGUUGGGGCAUGCGUGGCUCGCUCAGUCCAGUUAGAGCCCCAUGUUGGGUGGAGAGAUUACUUAAAAAAAAAAAAAAUCAUGAUAAUCGUGAGGUUCAGAACUGAGAGGACUCACCGGCAGAACCCCGAACCGCCUGCUUAGGCAGGUACCAUGUUCAAAUCCAACGGCAGUCCCAGAAUCGGAAUGGUACAUCGCUUCAGAUCCCCUGCUGUUCUGAUACCAUUUAUGUUGACUGAGAAAAGGAGGCAAAACUGAAAAAGAAGAAAGGCCUUCGUUUGUGAUCUCAGAAUUGCAAUUCGGGCACACAGAUUCCAGAGGCCUGAGAAGAGUGUCUUGCUCACGUGGGGAAAGCAAGAGGCUUUUAUAGGAAAGAAGCAAGUGGUCAUUACAUGAUUUAGAAAAAGAAGAGAAAAAAACCCCUGCUAUUCGGGUGCUGACCCGUGGGGUCGCUUCUGAUUACUAUUGUUUUGAUUAUUAGUGCGAUGAAACAAAACUACAAAAAAGUAGUUAACUUUACUGCCCUCAUGUAAUCCGAAUGCCACUUACUCUGUUGAAAUUUUAUGAGCAAUUGCUUGUAAAAGAAUUGCCACCUCUUGUCCCGUUGGACAGUUCCUUAGCUGGAAAGCAAAAUGGAGCUUCAAAACGGAGUCCCUUCCGUCCAGAAACUUUAUACAAUUCUACACUUUUUAAAAGAUGCUGAUUGAAAAUCACCAGAGUAAUUAUGCAAACCGCUAGGCUAUCAAUUUCAAAGGCACUCUAUUGUCACUCUCUCAUUUCUUUCCAUCCUUUUCCCUAAUCUCUCGGUGUUCUGGAGGAACAUCAUUUCUAUUUUUUUCCCCCUCUGGCCCUUACUCUACAACACACUCUCUUAUCCAUCUCUGUGUGUAUAGUUCAACCACGUUUGCUCUGGAAGGCAAUUGUCCUGUACUCUGUGUAGACAUCACUCUGGUGUUCUAUGUGAUGCCUGCGUAUAGAAAUGCUGGACUUCAUAACUACUGAUAAACUGGCCUGCUUAGGAGAGGAGGGCAGAUGAAUCAGUAUUUCUGAAUUUCCUGGAAGAAGACACAGAGAGGCAUUCAGGCAGAUGUAAAGGAAGUAGGCUAACUGGCCUCUGAAUACCAUGAAAGGCAUUAAUUAAAUGAUAUAGAUAAGGAUUUCCUUGAUUCUGGAAGGCAGUAAAAAGGAAGCCACCAAACCUACCAUAUCAAUCCAUUAAAAAACAAACAAACAAACAAAAGUGACCGGGGCACCUGGGUGGCUCAGUUGGUUAAGUGGCCAACUUUGGCUCAGGUCACGCGGUCCCAUGGUGCGUGAGUUCCGAGCCGCACAUCGGGCUCUCUGCU